This is a non-coding RNA of Cryptotermes secundus, 73 nucleotides long. The record is from the annotation of a RefSeq genome assembly. NCBI's taxonomy places the organism in Eukaryota, Metazoa, Arthropoda, Insecta, Blattodea, Kalotermitidae.
CCUCUGGUAGCUCAGUUGGUAGAGCGGUGGACUGUAGAUCCAUAGGUCGCUGGUUCAAAUCCGGCCCGGAGGA